AAUUGUACCUCUUGCUUCUAAGGUAUUCUAUGCUAAUGUGGGAUUGUAUUUUCCGCUUUAUGAGUUGUAAAUUUUUCCUCUGAUGCGGUGUGGCCUCUUCAAAAUACGUGUCUUCUUCAUAUCCCCAAUACAAGUUCACUUUCUUUCCCUCCCAUGGCUUCACCACCGACAAUUAACCUCAUCUGGGUAGUCUUCUCCAGCGUACCCAUCGGAGAUCCUUGCUAUUCUUAGAACAUCACAGCUAACAGAACUUGAAGACGAUUGUUGCAGAAUAGGUCAAAAUUAGGGUUUGUAUUUUUUCAAAACAAACAGAGAUUAUGAGCACCUCCGUACAAUUUCCAGAAUAAAAAAUCGUGACCACCAUCUUCAACCAAACAGAGCACACGAUGGCGACGACCAACGGUGACACCCAUAUUUGUUGUUGCUAGCACGGUCUAAUAUUAAGGACUACCAUAACUACACAGUUGCACGCGUGCUGUUCUUGCGCAUAUGGGCGGAACAUUAUGGGGAUCUAUGAGGCACAUUAUACCAGCUUCCACAUCAACACUUAGCACCCCCGCUGCAACGCGGGGGGUGCUUCCUUCUAGUUUUUGUAAAAUAUUAACUUUCAAUUAUUAGAAUUUUCUACGGAUAGAUUUUGUUCGAGUCUAUAUCUCUAUAUAUAUUUUUAAAAGAUAAACUUCAUUCACCAAAGAAA
Helianthus annuus (common sunflower) is the source of this 697-nucleotide long non-coding RNA. RefSeq lists it as uncharacterized. NCBI's taxonomy places the organism in Eukaryota, Viridiplantae, Streptophyta, Magnoliopsida, Asterales, Asteraceae. The transcript has 3 exons. The record is from RefSeq and is a predicted model, not a curated record.